Molecule: ribosomal RNA, 356 nt
Filed under: uncultured bacterium
Lineage: Bacteria
Description: partial 16S ribosomal RNA
Rfam family: Bacterial small subunit ribosomal RNA
Source: RNAcentral
CCUACGGGCGGCAGCAGUGGGGAAUAUUGCGCAAUGGUCGAAAGCCUGACGCAGCGACGCCGCGUGAGGGAUGAAGGUCUUCGGAUCGUAAACCUCUGUCAGCAGGGAAGAACGGUCACUGUGCUAAUCAGCAGUGAAUUGACGUUACCUGCAAAGAACGCACCGGCUAACUCCGGGCCAGGAGCCGCGGGAAUACGGAGGGUGCGAGCGUUAAUCGGAAUUACUGGGCGUAAAGCGCUCGUAGGCGGUAUGUCAAGUCAAGGGUGAAAUCCCCGCGCUCAACGUGGGAACUGCCUUUGAAACUGGCAAACUGGAGUGUGUGAGAGGAUAGUGGAAUGCCAGGUGUAGGAGUGAAA